Molecule: long non-coding RNA, 508 nt
Organism: Zophobas morio
Lineage: Eukaryota; Metazoa; Arthropoda; Insecta; Coleoptera; Tenebrionidae
Exons: 4
Source: RefSeq, a predicted model, not a curated record
CUAUUAAUUUUUUUUUUGCUUCCUUCUUUGGUCUUUUAUAAUCCUGGUAGUCGAAAAUAAGCGAAGACGCCAAGCGUGCUAAUCAUAAUGCUCUUGAGAGAAAGCGUAGAGUUUAUCAGAAGGAGCGUUUACAAGAACUAAGACAGUGUGUACCUAUAAUCAAUUCCGAUAAACCGUCAACUGUUGAGAUUUUGCAAAAGUCAACUGAGUAUAUUGAAAUUCUUCGAAACAAACAGGCUGUUCAGGAAAGAGAGAUAAACGAAUUAAAACGUAUUAAUUUGGAUCUUCUUGAACGUUUACAACAAAUUACUAACCAUAAGAUCGAGAUUCCUCACGAAUUUAGGCUGGUAAAAUUUGAAGAUCCAUUAUCCGGUCCGGAUGCUGCUGAUGUAGAAGAAGAAUCUUCAAACUUUUUGCAGGAUUUAGAUGAUUAUCCUGAUAUUAAACGUUUAGCUGCAGAAGAUGAAUACUUCGCUCAAACGAAAGUUAUAAAAUCUGAAGAAAUUGA